Molecule: non-coding RNA, 84 nt
Organism: Macaca mulatta (Rhesus monkey)
Lineage: Eukaryota; Metazoa; Chordata; Mammalia; Primates; Cercopithecidae
Source: Rfam
ACCCUCAAUGGCUCAGUAGCCAGUGUAGAUCCUGUCUUUCGUAAUCAGCAGCUACAUCUGGCUACUGGGUCUCUGAUGGCAUCU